RNA transcript from Manis pentadactyla (Chinese pangolin), 7526 nucleotides. It is a transcript of the gene named G protein-coupled receptor 141, with no coding region annotated. The record is from RefSeq and is a predicted model, not a curated record. The transcript has 3 exons. Lineage: Eukaryota; Metazoa; Chordata; Mammalia; Pholidota; Manidae.
AAUUGAUAAACUUGUACAUUGAAAACUAAUUUAAUUUCUGAUAAAAAAAAUUAAAGCAGAUGCAAAUAAAUGGAAAUGUCCCAUGUUUGGGGAUUGAAAGAAUAUUGUUAAAAUAUCCAUACUACCCAAAGUGAUCUAUGGAUUCAAUGAGGUUCCUAUCAAAAGCUCAAUGGCAUUCUUCAUAGAGGUAGAAAAAAAAAUUCUAGAAUUCAUAUGGAACUCCUUAUAACCAAAGUAAUAUUGAGCAAGAAGAACAAACCGGAGGCAUCACAUUUUCGAUUUCAAAAUACAUUACAAAGUUACUAUAUAAAGCUAUGAUACAAAAUAUAAUAAAAGUAAUCCAAAUAGUAUGUUACCAGCAAAUAAACAGAUAUAUAGACCAAUGGAACAGAAUAGAGAGCCUAGAAAUAAACCCACAUGCAUAUGGCUACCUGAUAUUCAUCAGGGGUGCCAAGAAUACACAAUGCAGAAAGAGUAGUCUCUUUAAUAAAUGGUGUUGGGAAAACUGGAAUCUGCAUGCAAAUAAUGAAAUUGGAGCCUUCCUACACCACACACAAAAGUGAACUUGAAAUGGAUUAGAGACUUAAUUUUAAGACAUGAAACUGUAAAACUCCUAGAAGAUAAUAAAGAGAAAAAGUCUUUCAAGACUGAUCUUAGAAAUGAUUUCUCAGAUUGACAUCAAAAGCAUAAGCAAAAAUAGACACAGGAGAUUAUACUAAACUAAAAAGCUUCUGCACAGCAAAGGAAGUCAUCAGUGAACUGAAAAGACAACCUAUGGAAUGGAAGAAAACAUUUGCAAUGCAUAUACCUGUAAAGGGUUAAUAUCCAAAAUAUAUAAAACUUAAAAGCAAAAAAAAAAUAUGAUGAUAUUAAAAAUGAGCAAAAGAACUGAAAAGAUAUUACUCCAAAGAAGACAUACAAAUGGACAACAGGUACAUUGAAAAAGUGCUCAACAUCAUUAAUCACUAGGGAAUUGCAAAUCAAACCAGAAUGAGUAUCACCUAAUAUCUAUUAGAAUGGCUAUUAUCAAAACAAUCCAAAAGAUAACAAAUGUUGUCAAGGAAAAAAAUGUGGAGAAAAGGGAACCCUUGUAUACUUUCAGUGGGAAUGUAAAUUGUUUCAGCCACUAUGGAGAACAGUAUAGAGGUCCCUCAAAAAAUUAAAAAUAGUGCUACCAUGGGGUCCAGCGAUUCUAUUUCUGGGUAUCUAUCAAAUGGAAUGAAAUCAGGGUAUCAAAAAUUAUUUUCAAUCCCAUGUUCAUUGCAGCAUUAUUCACAAUAGUCAACACAUGAAGCAAACUAAAUGUCUUAUCAGUGAAUGAAUGGGUAAAGAAAAUGUGGUGUAUAUAAACAAUGGACUAUUAUCCACACUAAAAAUGAAGGACAUCUGCUCUCUGUGACAACAUGGUUGGACCUGGAAGACAUUAUGCUAAGUGAAAGAAUCUGAACACAGAAGGACAAAUACUACAUGAUACCACUUAUAUGAGGAACCUAAAAUAGUUAAACUGAUAAAGGUAGAGAGUAGAAUGGUGUUCUGGGGUUGGGGGGAAGGGAAAAUGGGGAGGACAGUCAAAGGGUAUAAAUGAUUGGUUAUACAAGAUGGAAGUUCUAGAGAUCUACUUACAGUAUAGUUAGUAUUUCAUCCUUAAAAAUUUGCUAAAGGGAAAGAUCUUAGUUUUCUUACCACACACAAUAAAUAAAGAAGACAGGAAGAACUUUUGGGGGCAGUAGACAUGUUUACAGCAUAGAUUGUGGUAAUGGUUUCACAGGUGUGUACUUAUCUCCAAACUCAUCAAGUUGCAUAUAUAUAUAUAUAUAUAUAUAUACACACAUAUAUACAUAUAUAUAUGCAUGUAUCUACCUAUCUUUUUGCAUGUCAAUCAUACUUCAAUAAAGAUAUCAAUGGAACAAAAGACACACUGGCAAAUAGUCAUGUGAAUAGAAACAAAUUUCUUCAUGACCUCCCCUCCUCCUUGUGUUAAGAUUUAUAAACCUGGGCUUAGGAGAUGCACAACUUGCUUCUCUAUGAUGUAAAAUACAGAGUUGUGUGUGUGUGUGAGACUUUGGAGACCUUGGUCAAAUGACUUAUGUGUAGUGCUCAAUUUCCUCACCAAAAAUUCAGCAGAGUAAAUACACACAAUGCACAGGACAGCUGUGAGGGUCGUGUAAUAUCUGGCACAUAGAAGAGAUAUAACAUGGGCUUCCUACAACUGAGAGAUCAUAGCAGUUUAUAAGAAAGAAAGUGGACUUGAGACAGAUGGUAUGACACUGGUUAUACUUCUUUUUUCAGUUGAUCCCUUUAGGUCAACAGCCCAAGGAAAUGAUAAGCUGAAUUUAUGGUGGUACAUUCAUCCUUGAUUCAGAUAUGAACACAAUAUAAUUUCAAGUCUACUUGAUGGAACUACUUUUCUACAGAGAAAAAUAAAAGGUGAUUUCUGAAGUAUGGUUGACCACAAUAAUUCCUCCUGCGAUCCAGUACGGACACCCCAUUUAACCACACUCUACUGUGUAGUGCUCACUGGAGGCCUAGUGGGCAUUAUCUCCAUUCUGUUCCUGCUGGUGAAAAUGAACACCCGGUCUGUGACCACCACAGCAGUCGUUAACUUGGUGGUGGUCCACAGUGUUUUCCUGCUGACAGUGCCUUUUCGCUUGACCUACCUCAUCAAGCACACUUGGACAUUUGGGUUGCCCUUCUGUAAAUUUGUGAGCGCCAUGCUGCACAUCCACAUGUACCUUACUUUCCUGUUCUACGUGGUGAUCCUGGUCAUCAGGUACCUCAUCUUCUUCAAGCGCAAAGACAAAGUGGAAUUCUACAGAAAGCUGCAUGCAGUGGCUGCCAGCACUGGCCUGUGGGUGCUGGUGAUUGUCAUUGUGGUGCCCCUGGUUGUUUCUCAGUAUGGAACUUACAAGGUGUAUGAUAAGCAGCACUGUUUUAAAUUUCACAAAGAACUUGAUCGUGCAUAUGUGCAAGUCAUCAACUAUAUGAUAGCCAUUAUUUUUAUAGCCAUUGCAGUGAUUCUCUUGGUCUUCCAGAUCUUUAUCAUUAUUCCGAUGGUGCGGAAGCUGCGCCGCUCCCUACUAUCCCAUCAGGAGUUUUGGGCCCAAUUGAAAAACCUAUUUUUUAUAGGAGUCAUUCUAAUUUGCUUCCUUCCCUACCAAUUCUUUAGGAUCUAUUACUUAUACUCUGUGGCACAGUCAAGUGACUGUAACAACAAUGUUACAUUUUAUAAUGAAAUAUUCUUGAGUGUAACAGCAGUUAGCUGCUUUGACUUGCUGCUCUUUGUUCUUGGGGGAAGCCACUGGUUUAAGCAAAAGAUAAUUGACCUAUGGAAUUGCCUUUUGUGCAGUUAGCCACCAACUACAGUAUUCAGAAUUACUUCCUUUAUAUUGGGAGUGAAAAUAGACACAGCAGGUAGGAAUGGUUAUUUCAUUACUUGAUUAAAACCAUGCCUUGAUGCAGUUUAUCAAAAGGACUAUAAAAUGUAAUUAAUUCCAGUCCUUAUUUAAUCCAUACCAUCUCCAAAUGAUGCCUGUACAAAGACUAAUGAUAUUGAGCCUAUCUGGAGUUACAAUACUGCAUAAUUUUCCAAUACAAAAUGUCUACUUGGCCUAUCCAGGCACCAAGGGUCUAAAGGUUUCUAAGUUUUACUAAUUUAUUUUAGACUGGACUCAGCCCUCUAGUUCUUUUCAUUCCACUUAACUUUAGAUAAAUUAAUCCUGGCCAAGAUUUGGCUCAGAAAACACAAGCUCUAUUUGGCUUUCUAGAAAAGAUACCCAUUCAACUCACACCCUGAAAAAAGCAGUUAAGAGAGAAUAGUAAGAAACUUUUCUAGAUCAUCACAACUUUGGUGGGAAGUCGCUUCUCUAGAAAUCAAGAGAAAAAGAAUUCCUUGUGGCGUUCUGCUAUAACAAGGUUUUCUAGAUUUGUCCUAUAAAGGUCAAAUCUAAGGACAUGAGAUCAAUUCUCUCAGUAUCUCCAAAAAUCAUUCAAAAGCUUACUGAAUAUGUCUAAAUAAUGGUGAAGGUGUAACUUAGAAAAUAUUUCUGACCAAUAUGCUGCUAGGCAUUAAAAUGAGUUCCCAAGGGAAGUGAUUAAAUUUUUUUCCUUUUCUAUUUUUUCAAGAAUUUCUAGCUGUCUUGGGCCACAGUUAAUUUAGAUUUUCCUUGGAGACAGAAGGCUAUACUGAAAUAUUUAGAGUUCCCCUCCACCCUUAAAGUUAUGUGUCUUUAUUUCCCUCAAAGUUUCAUAAUCUUGAAGGAACUGAGCCAGUUUCAUUAUUUAAUGCUUCAGGAAACCUUAAGCAAUUCGUGGUAAUUUUAAAAGAUUAAAAUUAAUUAAGGUAACUUUUUUUUUCCCAAGCAAGGUAAACGUUCAAGAUCUAAAGAUUCUUCUUAAUUUGUUAUACUCUACGAUCCACAAAUUCAUCUGAUGAGUAAGAAAUCCCUCUGUGAGUUUCUAUAACCACUAAAAUUACUGAGUCAUAGAAAGUAAUUAUGAGGAAGAAAAAGCAGCAACAUGCUAUAUACAUGAACUAUUCCCAAAUUUUCCUGUUUUAAAUUUAUAUGUCCUGUUCUCUUUUUUAAGUUAUAUUUCUUUUAUUUCUUGUCUUCUUCUCCCAUUUUUUCUCAGUAUUUCUUUCUCACUUUGACCCAUAAUAUUUGUAAGAAAAUUUCUAACACCCAAAAAAGUUUUAAGAAAAUUUGUAACACUCUUGAAAUAUGUAAAAAAUUUAUAGUAAAAUAUUAAAAUUUUUAAUUAUUUAUGGGAAUUACAUAAACUUCUCUUCUUAUAUAUCUAUGUCUUACUAUCAUAACCUCUGUUACCUAAUAGAUUGUAUUAUAAUCUCUUCCAGAUUUUAAAUAUGUUGAAAUCAGGCAGUUAUUCUUUCCUCUGUUUUAUUAUGCAUUACAUAUAAUAAGGGCCUAUUUCUGUGGACCUAUAGGGGAUAUUACCCAGUACAUAGAUAUGCAAUAUUCCAUAAUGUAAAAUAUAUUAUUUAUCAAUACUUAUAGAAUAAAUGGAAAUUUUCAACUUGCCUUUUGUCUUUAAAUGCUAUGAAAAUGAAUCUCAUGCAGGAGUUGGGGUGACACUGGUCUCUCAGGCCACUUUUGGAUACCACAAUUUUAAGAGAGUAGUAUUAGUAUUUGGUGGCUGGGGCCUGAGACUAGAUAUUUUGUCUUGCAACAACUGUAUGCACAAUAAAGAAUUAUCAGGUCUUGCUCUUUAUUUGAAUGUUCUUCCAGACAUUUAUGAAAUGAAACAUGCUCAUGAUAAUAAAAGCAGUUGGCUAGGUUUUAUUCAGUUUUCAUAAAUGCAUAAUAUUUUCUUAGUUUGGCUUUAAUUUUCCAGAAAUAUAGCUUCCAUGGAUAUUGAGGAAAAAUGUUACUGUUUUUCUUAGAACUUUACCAAAGUUGUUCAUUCCUUUGUAAAAUAACAUUAUCAAUGGCAACACCAUUUGUGGCAUUAAAAUACAACACAACACGCCUGUGAACAAUAUUUGUAGUUGUUGUAGUCAGGUAGAUAUUAGAUAUAGAAGCUAACAUCAGACUACCUCAUUUGUCUCCUUUUGUGAUCAUGUCUGAGCAUGCAUACACUGAAACAUGUCUUAUUUUAUUGUAAAUUACUUUCUUUUUCAUUACUCAUUUAUAUUAGUUAGAAUAUUGUACAGCCUGUGUAUGUGUGUUGUGUGUCUGUGCAGGAGGGUUAUAUUUUCUGUGAAUUUUUAGAAUGGUAAAAGUGUUAUCAAAUACUUGCAAUGAAAUGCAAGGUAUUGGGGCUGCAAGGAUUGAGAACCACUAUGUCACCAUAAACAUGGUCAACUUAAGAGGGAUACCUACCAGUUAUAACAGUAUGAACAUGAAAAAUAUUCCUUUAUUUUGGGAAUACUUAACCUCAGCUUCAUUAAAUUCUGAAUUGCUUCUUUUGUUUCUGUCAUGAUCAAAAGAAUAAAUGCAAGUUUAAGGAAAAUGUACAGAAAAUACAUAUGUGUAUUUGCCUUUUUGAUAAGACAAAGACAUUUCCCUGAGCUUCACAACUCUUACAUUGGCUGAUAGUAUCCACCUGAUUUUGAUGGUCAAUAUCUACCAGGGGUAAUGACAAUUUUAAGGCCCAGGCAGAUUGUUUCUGGCAUCCAUUACAAGGUACUUUACUCAGCCUUUGUUCAUAAUUUACCUCUGAAAGGGUCAUUGCCCCAGCUUUCCUCCUCAACCUCAUAUAAAUUAGGGAGAAAGGGACUAUUUUACUUGUAGGUGAAUUGAGCUUUGUGAGGAAUGAUUCAAGCAGUGCUGAAAAUCCCCAAGUCCUCUUCAAUGGGGUUGCCGUUAGAGCUGUUUUCCUAAUACAGCAGUUCUGAAAGAGAGCAGAGGGCCAAUCUAUUCUCAGUCAUCAGCUUUUGAGGGGGGUGUCAGGAGGUGAAAAUUUGUGAGGCUGCCAUUUCUUAGAUUGGGUAGAUUUUGUCCACUUAAUCUUUAAUAAGAUGAGGCAUAGACCGUGGCCUCUCAUAUUGAGUGGGGCUGGUAGGAACAAGGAAACUCUCCUUGUAAUAGGGACUGACUACAGUACUUUGGAAAUAGUUGGUAAUAAAAACAUAUGUAUGGUAAAGGGACACAGUGAUGGUAGAUUUGUUUGGAUAAUGCUGAGAAAGCACAGGAUGCCAAAGGGCAUCUACAGACAUAAAAAAUAGGCAUCAGCCAGGGCCUGAGAAGGACUUUGAUCCUGGGUAUGGCUGAGCCCUAUCUCUGUAAUAGAACUAGCACGCUGGGCACCAAAACUCAGAAAAAUGAGCAAGUUUUAUUAUUUGAAGGGGUACACGUCAUCUAGAACUUCUAAGACUAGAAGAUGGGCCACUCAUAUCAAAAUGCACCCAGUGAAGCUUCAUCAUGGGCCACAUAAAAGCCCAUUGGUCACCAACAGGUACCACAUUUUGAGUAGGAUGAGCAGUGGUGAUCAGGAUUGGGAAGGCAGGGACAGAUGCUGAAAUGCUAAAAGCCUUAUGCUUCAGGCAGGAUGGACCUGGUAACCAGACCUGAGCCUUCAGAUUGAGAAAAAUCUGGAGAACCAGCAGGAACUGUUGGGGAUGGGAGACCAAGUCUGAGGACCACUAACGGAGAGGAGGAGGGGCUUGAGUGAGCCAUGGUUAGCAGUUCUAAGCAAGCAGGGGACAGCAGGAAGACAUCAAGCUCUUGGAAAGCAGACAGGAAAAUGAAGGCAACACACAAGGAAGACAUUUUGAACAGUAGAUGGAAAGAUGCAGGAGACUAUUGUUUGUUGUAUUUCAAGUGUGUCCUAGUAAUUUAUGUCAAUGAAUGGUUUCUUAAAAAUCUAAAAGCUUUUUCUCUAAGAUCAAGAACUGGAUAAGGAUGCCCACUCUCUCCACUUUUGUUCAACAUCAUAUUGGAAAUCUUCACCAGUGCAAUUAGGAAAGAAAAGAAAUAAAAGGCACCCAAAGUAAAAAGAAUGAAGUAAAACUGUUUCUUUUUGCAUAUGACAUGAAAUUAUACAUAGAAAACCCUAAAGACUCCACUUAA